UACGGAGGAUCCAAGCGUUAUCCGGAUUUAUUGGGUUUAAAGGGUGCGUAGGCGGAUUAAUAAGUCAGUGGUGAAAGCCUGCAGCUUAACUGUAGAAUUGCCAUUGAUACUGUUAGUCUUGAGUAUAUUUGAAGUGGGCGGAAUGUGCAGUGUAGCGGUGAAAUGCUUAGAUAUUGCACAGAACACCGAUUGCGAAGGCAGCUCACUAAACUAUAACUGACGCUGAGGCACGAAAGUAUGGGGAUCAAACAGG
This 253-nucleotide ribosomal RNA is filed under the name uncultured bacterium. RNAcentral describes it as "partial 16S ribosomal RNA". It matches the Rfam family "Bacterial small subunit ribosomal RNA", at positions 524 to 776 of the family's 1533-position model. The record is from RNAcentral.